Molecule: ribosomal RNA, 584 nt
Filed under: uncultured bacterium
Lineage: Bacteria
Description: bacterial SSU rRNA
Rfam family: Bacterial small subunit ribosomal RNA (bases 1-523)
Source: RNAcentral
CCUACGGGAGGCAGCAGUGGGGAAUAUUGGGCAAUGGAGGAAACUCUGACCCAGCGACGCCGCGUGCGGGAUGAAGGCCUUCGGGUUGUAAACCGCUUUCAGUAGGGAAGAAGCGAAAGUGACGGUACCUACAAAAGAAGCACCGGCUAACUAUGUGCCAGCAGCCGCGGUAAUACAUAGGGUGCAAGCGUUGUCCGGAAUUAUUGGGCGUAAAGAGCUCGUAGGUCGUUUGUUACGUCGGAUGUGAAAACCUGAGGCUCAACCUCAGGCCUGCAUUCGAUACGGGCAAACUAGAGUUUGGUAGGGGAGACUGGAAUUCCUGGUGUAGCGGUGGAAUGCGCAGAUAUCAGGAGGAACACCAAUGGCGAAGGCAGGUCUCUGGGCCAAUACUGACACUGAGGAGCGAAAGUCUGGGGAGCGAACAGGAUUAGAUACCCUGGUAGUCCAGACCGUAAACGGUGGGCACUAGUUGUGGGAACCUUCCACGGUUUCUGCGACGCAGCUAACGCAUUAAGUGCCCGCCUGGGAUCGAUCGCAGNUAAACUCAAGNAUGCGNGNGAGAGCGACGAGACGACGACGAGGAG